GACGAACGCUGGCGGCGUGCUUAACACAUGCAAGUCGAACGGAAAGGCCCCUUUGGGGGUACUCGAGUGGCGAACGGGUGAGUAACACGUGAGUAACCUGCCCUUGACUUCGGGAUAACUUCAGGAAACUGGGGCUAAUACCGGAUAGGAAUCCUUGCUGCAUGGUGGGGGUUGGAGAGCGUCGGCGGUUUUGGAUGGACUCGCGGCUGAUCAGCUUGUGGGUGGGGUAGUGGCUUACCAAGGCUGUGACGGGUAGCCGGCCUGAGAGGGCGACCGGCCACAUUGGGCCUGAGAUACGGCCCAGACUCCUACGGGAGGAAGCAGUGGGGAAUAUUGCACAAUGGGCGGAAGCCUGAUGCAGCAACGCCGCGUGCGGGAUGACGGCCUUCGGGUUGUAAACCGCUUUCGCCUGUGACGAAGCGUGAGUGACGGUAAUGGGUAAAGAAGCACCGGCUAACUACGUG
Molecule: ribosomal RNA, 464 nt
Filed under: uncultured bacterium
Lineage: Bacteria
Description: partial 16S ribosomal RNA
Rfam family: Bacterial small subunit ribosomal RNA
Source: RNAcentral